CGUACAUCAUAUGGGUUUUAAUAUUCAGCUCUUUUUAAAGCAAAACCAAACUUAAGCUCAGACCAAGGCUUCUUUGGAUAUGCGGUCAACCCAUUAUGGAAGUUGGGCUUUUGCCGAGGCCAUGUGAAGCCAAGACAAUGGGCCAUGUGGACCGCCUGUUCUUGCAACUUGCUUGGCCUAAAUAACUUAUGAAGAGAAAUUAUUUAUGCACCACCCACG
RNAcentral lists this long non-coding RNA (219 nucleotides) under Elaeis guineensis (African oil palm). Its description in RNAcentral is "long non-coding RNA (EGUI_LNC023570)". The record is from RNAcentral. Lineage: Eukaryota; Viridiplantae; Streptophyta; Magnoliopsida; Arecales; Arecaceae.